CCUACGGGUGGCAGCAGUGAGGAAUAUUGGUCAAUGGUCGGGAGACUGAACCAGCCAAGCCGCGUGAGGGAGGAAGGUACAGAGUAUCGUAAACCUCUUUUGUCAGGGAACAAAGACUGGGACGCGUCCCCGGAUGCGUGUACCUGAAGAAAAAGCAUCGGCUAACACCGUGCCAGCAGCCGCGGUAAUACGGAGGAUGCGAGCGUUAUCCGGUUUUAUUGGGUUAAAGGGGUGCGCAGGCGGUCUGUUAAGUCAGCGGUCAAAGCCCGGGGCUCAACCCCGGCACGCAGUUGAAAAGGGCAGUCUCGAGUUGGAUAGAAGUAUGCGGAAUGCGCGGUGUAGCGGUGAAAUGCAUAGAUAUCACGAGGAACCCCGAUUGCGAAGGCAGCCUGCCGGGGUGCGACUGACGCUGAGGCUCGAAGGUGCGGGUAUCAAACAGGAUUAGAUACCCUAGUAGUC
This 459-nucleotide ribosomal RNA is filed under the name uncultured bacterium. RNAcentral's name for it is "partial 16S ribosomal RNA". It matches the Rfam family "Bacterial small subunit ribosomal RNA", at positions 338 to 795 of the family's 1533-position model. The record is from RNAcentral.